AACAGGAUUAGAUACCCUGGUAGUCCACGCCGUAAACGAUGAGUGCUAAGUGUUAGAGGGUUUCCGCCCUUUAGUGCUGAAGUUAACGCAUUAAGCACUCCGCCUGGGGAGUACGGCCGCAAGGCUGAAACUCAAAGGAAUUGACGGGGGCCCGCACAAGCGGUGGAGCAUGUGGUUUAAUUCGAAGCAACGCGAAGAACCUUACCAGGUCUUGACAUCCUCUGAAAACCCUAGAGAUAGGGCUUCUCCUUCGGGAGCAGAGUGACAGGUGGUGCAUGGUUGUCGUCAGCUCGUGUCGUGAGAUGUUGGGUUAAGUCCCGCAACGAGCGCAACCCUUGAUCUUAGUUGCCAUCAUUAAGUUGGGCACUCUAAGGUGACUGCCGGUGACAAACCGGAGGAAGGUGGGGAUGACGUCAAAUCAUCAUGCCCCUUAUGACCUGGGCUACACACGUGCUACAAUGGACGGUACAAAGAGCUGCAAGACCGCGAGGUGGAGCUAAUCUCAUAAAACCGUUCUCAGUUCGGAUUGUAGGCUGCAACUCGCCUACAUGAAGCUGGAAUCGCUAGUAAUCGCGGAUCGGCAUGCCGCGGUGAAUACGUUCCCGGGCCUUGCACACACCGCCCGUCACACCACGAGAGUUUGUAACACCCGAAGUCGGUGGGGUAACCUUUUUGGAGCCAGCCGCCCAAGGUGGGACAGAUGAUUGGGGUGAAGUCGUAACAAGGUAACC
RNAcentral lists this ribosomal RNA (731 nucleotides) under uncultured bacterium. Its description in RNAcentral is "bacterial SSU rRNA". It matches the Rfam family "Bacterial small subunit ribosomal RNA", at positions 771 to 1501 of the family's 1533-position model. The record is from RNAcentral.